AGCAACCUGCCUGCAANAGGGGGACAACAGCUGGAAACGGCUGCUAAUACCGCAUAAGACCACAGCAUCGCAUGAUGAAGAGGUCAAAGGAGGAAUCCACUUGCAGAUGGGCUCGCGUCCCAUUAGGUAGUUGGUGAGGUAAAGGCUCACCAAGCCGACGAUGGGUAGCCGACCUGAGAGGGUGAUCGGCCACACUGGAACUGAGACACGGUCCAGACUCCUACGGGAGGCAGCAG
Molecule: ribosomal RNA, 236 nt
Filed under: uncultured bacterium
Lineage: Bacteria
Description: partial 16S ribosomal RNA
Rfam family: Bacterial small subunit ribosomal RNA
Source: RNAcentral